This 104-nucleotide transfer RNA is filed under the name Luteolibacter yonseiensis. RNAcentral's name for it is "tRNA-Cys". The record is from RNAcentral. Lineage: Bacteria; Pseudomonadati; Verrucomicrobiota; Verrucomicrobiia; Verrucomicrobiales; Verrucomicrobiaceae.
CGGGCGUUAGCUUAUCGGUAGAGCGGCGGCGACAAUCAGGGAAGAGGCUUCUGCUGCUUCCUUGAUUAUUGCCGCAGAGUAGGGUUCGACUCCCUAACGUUCGU